GACGAACGCUGGCGGCGUGCUUAACACAUGCAAGUCGAGCGGUAAGGCCCCUUCGGGGGUACACGAGCGGCGAACGGGUGAGUAACACGUGAGCAAUCUGCCCAUCACAUCGGGAUAACUCCGGGAAACCGAAGCUAAUACCGAAUACGACCACCUCCGGCAUCGGAUGGUGGUGGAAAGUUCCGGCGGUGAUGGAUGAGCUCGCGGCCUAUCAGCUUGUUGGUGGGGUAACGGCCCACCAAGGCUUCGACGGGUAGCCGGCCUGAGAGGGGGACCGGCCACACUGGGACUGCGACACGGCCCAGACUCCAACGGGAGGCAGCAGUGGGGAAUAUUGGACAAUGGGCGCAAGCCUGAUCCAGCAACGCCGCGUGAGGGAUGACGGCCUUCGGGUUGUAAACCUCUUUCAGCAGGGACGAAGCGCAAGUGACGGUACCUGCAGAAGAAGCACCGGCCAACUACGUG
Molecule: ribosomal RNA, 465 nt
Filed under: uncultured bacterium
Lineage: Bacteria
Description: partial 16S ribosomal RNA
Rfam family: Bacterial small subunit ribosomal RNA
Source: RNAcentral